GACUCUCAGUGAUAGAUAUGUCGGCUCCCACAUCGAUGAAGAACGUAGCAAAAUAUGAUACUUGGUGUGAAUUGCAGAAUCCCGUGAACCCUCGAGUCUUUGAAGGCAAGUUGCGCCUGAAGCCAUUAGGCCGAGGGAACGUCUGCCUAGGCGUCA
Ribosomal RNA from Capsicum annuum, 156 nucleotides. RefSeq annotates it as 5.8S ribosomal RNA. The transcript has a single exon. NCBI's taxonomy places the organism in Eukaryota, Viridiplantae, Streptophyta, Magnoliopsida, Solanales, Solanaceae. The record is from RefSeq and is a predicted model, not a curated record.